AAGAUCGUGCUUCAUAGGAUCAUUUCUAUAGUACGAUUGUCGAGACGCAUCCGCGAUCUCGGAACACACUCGACCACGAUGAGGAGUCGAGGGUCUCCGCUUGAGCGCGAAGCCGGCUCGGAGCUUCGGGUUUCGACCCUGGUUCCGGCCAUUGAUGACCGUUCCGCCGGCCUUAAAUGGCCGGUGGGAGGGCGGAGAUCCAGUCUGAGUGGC
Molecule: small nucleolar RNA, 213 nt
Organism: Rhipicephalus microplus (southern cattle tick)
Lineage: Eukaryota; Metazoa; Arthropoda; Arachnida; Ixodida; Ixodidae
Product: small nucleolar RNA U3
Source: RefSeq, a predicted model, not a curated record